UGCUAGGGCUAGAGAGCGAGUGC
RNAcentral lists this microRNA (23 nucleotides) under Pteropus alecto (black flying fox). RNAcentral describes it as "pal-miR-9988-5p". The record is from miRBase by way of RNAcentral. Lineage: Eukaryota; Metazoa; Chordata; Mammalia; Chiroptera; Pteropodidae.